GGACUACUGGGGUAUCUAAUCCUGUUUGCUCCCCACGCUUUCGCUCCUCAGCGUCAGGUAAGGCCCAGAGAACCGCCUUCGCCACCGGUGUUCCUCCCGAUAUCUGCGCAUUUCACCGCUACACCGGGAAUUCCAUUCUCCCCUACCUACCUCUAGUCUGCCCGUAUCUACUGCAAGCCCAGGGUUAAGCCCUAGGUUUUCACAGCGGACGUAGCAGACCGCCUACGAGCUCUUUACGCCCAAUAAUUCCGGACAACGCUUGCGCCCUACGUGUUACCGCGGCUGCUGGCAC
This 292-nucleotide ribosomal RNA is filed under the name uncultured bacterium. Its description in RNAcentral is "partial 16S ribosomal RNA". The record is from RNAcentral.